UACGGAGGGUGCAAGCAUUAAUCGGAUUUAUUGGGCGUAAAGGGCGCGUAGGCGGAGAGACAAGUCAGAUGUGAAAUACCGGGGCUCAACCUCGGAACGGCAUUUGAAACUGUCUCCCUAGAGGGUAGGCGGAGAAAACAGAAUUCCACAAGUAGCGGUGAAAUGCGUAGAUAUGUGGAAGAAUACCGGUGGCGAAGGCGGUUUUCUAGCUUAUUCCUGACGCUAAUGCGCGAAAGCAAGGGGAGCAAACAGGAUUAGAAACCCUGGUAGU
This 271-nucleotide ribosomal RNA is filed under the name uncultured bacterium. Its description in RNAcentral is "partial 16S ribosomal RNA". It matches the Rfam family "Bacterial small subunit ribosomal RNA", at positions 524 to 794 of the family's 1533-position model. The record is from RNAcentral.